RNAcentral lists this ribosomal RNA (253 nucleotides) under uncultured bacterium. RNAcentral describes it as "partial 16S ribosomal RNA". It matches the Rfam family "Bacterial small subunit ribosomal RNA", at positions 524 to 776 of the family's 1533-position model. The record is from RNAcentral.
UACGGAGGGUGCAAGCGUUAUCCGGAUUCACUGGGUUUAAAGGGUGCGUAGGUGGGUUGAUAAGUCAGUGGUGAAAUCCCCGAGCUUAACUUGGGAACUGCCAUUGAUACUAUUGAUCUUGAAUACCGUGGAGGUCAGCGGAAUAUGUCAUGUAGCGGUGAAAUGCUUAGAUAUGACAUAGAACACCAAUUGCGAAGGCAGCUGGCUACGCGAAUAUUGACGCUGAGGCACGAAAGCGUGGGGAUCAAACAGG